UGGGGGAUGGCUUAUAGGGAGCCCAAGUGGAAGUGGUAUGGGAUUGGUGGAAAUCUGACAAUGUAGGCAUCACCGCAUUACCAAUCUUGUACGAUCAUCGGUUAGGUGUUGAUGUCUGUGACACUAUUUGGGUCACAUGAGGUUACUCAGAUCAUGUGCUUUGUAUCACUAGGUCAUGAUGCCACAUGUCUACGAUGCCUUUAAAAAUUGGAUGCAUCUUCAGAUGGACCAAAUAUGGUAUAACACUUUGCCCCCCACUUCUUAGUGCGAAGUAUUUUGCACUGAAAAGUAGGUCUUCUUUUGAAUUUUGAAGUCGUGCAUUGGAGUGAGCUUCAAUGUAGUUGUGAGAUUCCACUAACAUGGUAGAACUAGUC
Molecule: long non-coding RNA, 374 nt
Filed under: Elaeis guineensis (African oil palm)
Lineage: Eukaryota; Viridiplantae; Streptophyta; Magnoliopsida; Arecales; Arecaceae
Description: long non-coding RNA (EGUI_LNC029646)
Source: RNAcentral